GGAGAGAUGCUCGAGUGGCUGAAGAGGCACGCCUGGAAAGCGUGUAUACGCCUAAAGCGUAUCGGGGGUUCGAAUCCCCCUCUCUCCGCUA
RNAcentral lists this transfer RNA (91 nucleotides) under Paraprevotella clara. RNAcentral's name for it is "tRNA-Ser". It matches the Rfam family "tRNA". From Rfam's summary of the family: Transfer RNA (tRNA) molecules are approximately 80 nucleotides in length. RNAcentral also lists the same sequence under 3 other names. The record is from RNAcentral. Lineage: Bacteria; Pseudomonadati; Bacteroidota; Bacteroidia; Bacteroidales; Prevotellaceae.